This 73-nucleotide transfer RNA is filed under the name Tuber melanosporum (Perigord truffle). RNAcentral describes it as "tRNA-Thr (AGT) (tRNA-Thr-AGT-4-1)". It matches the Rfam family "tRNA". Rfam says of the family: Transfer RNA (tRNA) molecules are approximately 80 nucleotides in length. Their secondary structure includes four short double-helical elements and three loops (D, anti-codon, and T loops). The record is from RNAcentral. Lineage: Eukaryota; Fungi; Ascomycota; Pezizomycetes; Pezizales; Tuberaceae.
GCUCCCACGGCUAAGAUGGUAAGGCGCGUCACUAGUAAUGACGAGAUCGACGGUUAAAAUCCGUUUCGGAUCG